RNAcentral lists this ribosomal RNA (748 nucleotides) under uncultured Alteromonas sp. RNAcentral's name for it is "bacterial SSU rRNA". It matches the Rfam family "Bacterial small subunit ribosomal RNA", at positions 393 to 1133 of the family's 1533-position model. Lineage: Bacteria; Pseudomonadati; Pseudomonadota; Gammaproteobacteria; Alteromonadales; Alteromonadaceae. The record is from RNAcentral.
CAUGCCGCGUGUGUGAAGAAGGCUCUAGGGUUGUAAAGCACUUUCAGUCGGGAGGAAAGGGUAGUAGUUAAUACCUGCUAUCUGUGACGUUACCGACAGAAGAAGCACCGGCUAACUCCGUGCCAGCAGCCGCGGUAAUACGGAGGGUGCGAGCGUUAAUCGGAAUUACUGGGCGUAAAGCGCACGCAGGCGGUCUGUUAAGCUAGAUGUGAAAGCCCCGCGCUCAACGUGGGAGGGUCAUUUAGAACUGGCAGACUAGAGUCUUGGAGAGGGGAGUGGAAUUCCAGGUGUAGCGGUGAAAUGCGUAGAGAUCUGGAGGAACAUCAAUGGCGAAGGCAACUCCCUGGCCAAAGACUGACGCUCAUGUGCGAAAGUGUGGGUAGCGAACAGGAUUAGAUACCCUGGUAGUCCACACCGUAAACGCUGUCUACUAGCUGUUUGUGAAUUUAAUUCGUGAGUAGCGAAGCUAACGCGAUAAGUAGACCGCCUGGGGAGUACGGCCGCAAGGUUAAAACUCAAAUGAAUUGACGGGGGCCCGCACAAGCGGUGGAGCAUGUGGUUUAAUUCGAUGCAACGCGAAGAACCUUACCUACUCUUGACAUACUAGAAACUUUUCAGAGAUGAAUUGGUGCCUUCGGGAAUCUAGAUACAGGUGCUGCAUGGCUGUCGUCAGCUCGUGUCGUGAGAUGUUGGGUUAAGUCCCGCAACGAGCGCAACCCUUGUCCUUAGUUGCCAGCCUUAAGUUGGG